ACCUCGGAUCAGGUAGGGAUACCCGCUGAACUUAAGCAUAUCAAUAAGCGGAGGAAAAGAAACCAACAGGGAUUACCUCAGUAACGGCGAGUGAAGCGGUAACAGCUCAAAUUUGAAAGCUGGCUCUUUUAGGGUCCGCGUUGUAAUUUGUAGAAGAUGCUUCGGGUGUGGCCCCGGUCUAAGUUCCUUGGAACAGGACGUCAUAGAGGGUGAGAAUCCCGUAUGUGACUGGGUGCUUUCGCUCAUGUGAAGCUCUUUCGACGAGUCGAGUUGUUUGGGAAUGCAGCUCAAAAUGGGUGGUAAAUUUCAUCUAAAGCUAAAUAUUGGCCAGAGACCGAUAGCGCACAAGUAGAGUGAUCGAAAGAUGAAAAGCACUUUGGAAAGAGAGUUAAACAGUACGUGAAAUUGUUGAAAGGGNAAGCGCUUGCAACCAGACUUGCGCGCUGAUGAUCAUCCGGGCUUCUGCCCGGUGCACUCGUCUGCGCUCAGGCCAGCAUCGGUUUCGGUGGUGGGAUAAAGGCCUUGGGAAUGUGGCUCCUCUCGGGGAGUGUUAUAGCCCUCGGUGCAAUGCCGCCAACCGGGACCGAGNACCGCG
This 595-nucleotide ribosomal RNA is filed under the name Leptodontidium sp. C_1_BESC_294g. RNAcentral describes it as "eukaryotic LSU rRNA". It matches the Rfam family "Eukaryotic large subunit ribosomal RNA", at positions 1 to 600 of the family's 3401-position model. The record is from RNAcentral. Lineage: Eukaryota; Fungi; Ascomycota; Leotiomycetes; Helotiales; Leptodontidiaceae.